RNAcentral lists this ribosomal RNA (253 nucleotides) under uncultured bacterium. RNAcentral describes it as "partial 16S ribosomal RNA". It matches the Rfam family "Bacterial small subunit ribosomal RNA", at positions 524 to 776 of the family's 1533-position model. The record is from RNAcentral.
UACAGAGGGGGCAAGCGUUGUUCGGAAUUACUGGGCGUAAAGGGCGCGUAGGCGGCCAUCUAAGUCAGACGUGAAAUCCCCCGGCUUAACCUGGGAACUGCGUCUGAUACUGGAAGGCUUGAGUAUGGGAGAGGGAUGUAGAAUUCCAGGUGUAGCGGUGAAAUGCGUAGAUAUCUGGAGGAAUACCGGUGGCGAAGGCGGCAUCCUGGACCAUUACUGACGCUGAGGCGCGAAAGCGUGGGGAGCGAACAGG